CCUGUUUAUCAAAAACAUCGUUUACUUAAUUUAUAGUAGAUAGAGUCUGCCCGCUGUAAAUUUAUAAAAGGCCGSGGUAUCGCUGACCGUGCUAAGGUAGCAUAAUCACUCGUCUCUUAAUAGAAGACUCGUAUAAACGACCUGACGGAAGGUAAGCUGUCUCAACUGUAUAUCUGAAUCUGACAUAGAGGUAAAAAGGCCUUUACCACCAAGGGGACGAUCAGACCCUAAAAACUUUAUCUGUCUAAGCCCCAUUAUUCUUCAACACAAUAUGAGUUUAUAUAGAUUUUGCUGGGGCGGCAUUUUUUAACAUAAAAACAAACCUACCUAAAACAUCUUGUAUGACCUUUAUAACACAUUCUUAAGACUAAAGACCAGUUACUUUAGGGAUAACAGCGCAACCCCUUCUAGAGCCCCUAUCGACAAGUAGGUAAGCGACCUCGAUGUUGAAUUGAGACUCCCUAUUGAGCAGCCUCAAUAAAGGACAGGACUGUUCGUCCUAAAAUCCUCACAUGAUCUGAGUUCAAACCGG
This 532-nucleotide ribosomal RNA is filed under the name Bathynomus giganteus. Its description in RNAcentral is "partial 16S ribosomal RNA". It matches the Rfam family "Bacterial large subunit ribosomal RNA", at positions 1799 to 2619 of the family's 2925-position model. The record is from RNAcentral. Lineage: Eukaryota; Metazoa; Arthropoda; Malacostraca; Isopoda; Cirolanidae.